CUUGACCUCGGAUCAGGUAGGK
Molecule: ribosomal RNA, 22 nt
Filed under: Phoma sp. 203
Lineage: Eukaryota; Fungi; Ascomycota; Dothideomycetes; Pleosporales; Didymellaceae
Description: partial 26S ribosomal RNA
Source: RNAcentral